AGUGAACGCUGGCGGUAGGCCUAACACAUGCAAGUCGAACGGCAGCACAGUAAGAGCUUGCUCUUACGGGUGGCGAGUGGCGGACGGGUGAGGAAUACAUCGGAAUCUACUUUUUCGUGGGGGAUAACGUAGGGAAACUUACGCUAAUACCGCAUACGACCUACGGGUGAAAGCAGGGGAUCUUCGGACCUUGCGCGAUUGAAUGAGCCGAUGUCGGACUAGCUAGUUGGCGGGGUAAAGGCCCACCAAGGCGGCGAUCCGUAGCUGGUCUGAGAGGAUGAUCAGCCACACUGGAACUGAGACACGGUCCAGACUCCUACGGGAGGCAGCAGUGGGGAAUAUUGGACAAUGGGCGCAAGCCUGAUCCAGCCAUACCGCGUGGGUGAAGAAGGCCUUCGGGUUGUAAAGCCCUUUUGUUGGGAAAGAAAAGCAGCAGGUUAAUACCCCGCUGUUCUGACGGUACCCAAAGAAUAAGCACCGGCUAACUUCGUG
Molecule: ribosomal RNA, 492 nt
Filed under: uncultured bacterium
Lineage: Bacteria
Description: partial 16S ribosomal RNA
Rfam family: Bacterial small subunit ribosomal RNA
Source: RNAcentral